This 810-nucleotide ribosomal RNA is filed under the name Clavulina cf. cinerea UBCOGTR0443s. Its description in RNAcentral is "eukaryotic LSU rRNA". The stretch from base 270 to 423 matches the Rfam family "5.8S ribosomal RNA". The record is from RNAcentral. Lineage: Eukaryota; Fungi; Basidiomycota; Agaricomycetes; Cantharellales; Hydnaceae.
AAAAGUCGUAACAAGGUUUCCGUAGGUGAACCUGCGGAAGGAUCAUUAAUGAGUUGUGAUGGGGUUGAUGCCNNNNUGGCAGCCAAUUUUUUGGGUGCANNNNNNNUGUGCUCGCCCUGCCAAUCAUCUUCCAAACACCUGUGCACAUUUUUGAGGGAGUUUCGAGUCGAUUGCUGCCUUUUGGCGAUUUUCUUGAAUUCCCUNAAAUCAUUAUACGCUGUUAGCAAAUGUUGAACGUGCUUUGUGCCGCAAGGCCAUUAAUAUAAUACAACUUUUAACAACGGAUCUCUUGGCUCUCGCAUCGAUGAAGAACGCAGCGAAAUGCGAUAAGUAAUGUGAAUUGCAGAAUUCAGUGAAUCAUCGAAUCUUUGAACGCACCUUGCGCUCCCUGGUAUUCCGGGGAGCACGCCUGUUCGAGUGUCGUGAAAUUUCUCAAAGCUUGGAUGGCCUUUUUUUGUCUGUCCUUAGCCUUGGUUGUUGGGCUUUGCCGUGUCCUGUAUUGGGGACGGCUGGGCCUUAAAAACAUUAGCUGAUCCUUGUGCGGCACUGGUUCUACUCAGCGUGAUAAUAGUCUGAUCGCUGAGGACGUCUUUUGGGAUGGCCAGUGCUCAUUUGGGUUGCUUAUAGACCUGGUCUUGCAGAUUCUUCAAUCUGUGGUUCCACUUUUCAGCUUUGACCUCGAAUCAGGNGGGACUACCCGCUGAACUUAAGCAUAUCAAUAAGCGGAGGAAAAGAAACUAACAAGGAUUCCCCUAGUAACGGCGAGUGAAGCGGGAAGAGCUCAAUUUAAAAUCUGGCAAUCUUUGGUUG